Molecule: long non-coding RNA, 703 nt
Filed under: Ananas comosus (pineapple)
Lineage: Eukaryota; Viridiplantae; Streptophyta; Magnoliopsida; Poales; Bromeliaceae
Description: long non-coding RNA (ACOM_LNC010325)
Source: RNAcentral
CUGUAAUCACUAUAAAAGAGGUCAAACUAAUCUAGUCACCCAACUCACAUGCCCCUGGCACAAUUUGAUGCAAAAAUACAGGAGUCUAGGUCCACCGUCAACCCCGACGGCACCCGACGGUCUGACACCGUCUAGCUCUACUAUAACAACACACUGGGCUCCUCAGCACGAUCGUAAACUCACCCUACGCUCUUCUAAGUAUCCACCUCGCACUAAUAGCGGUGAUACAGAAAUCUGGGUCCACCGUCAACCCCGACGACACCAGACAGCACGAGACAGUUUAUACACUACUGUAAAAACAAGUUCGGCAUCCCAGCACGAGCGUAAACUCACCCUACACUAAUCUGGGUAUCCACCACAUACUAGCAGUGGCGAUACAAAAGGACCACAACUCCUACAGCCAAAUCUGGUAACUUUUCAGAAAAUGACAGUGUAGGGUUUAGAAUGUUUUCUCCUAAGUCCAAUCCAAGUCCAACAUGUAUAAUAAUCUCUAGAAACAUUAAACUAUGCUCCAAAUUCAGAUUCCAUAAACAAAUAUGCAAAUCGAGAAAUUCGAACUAUUAAACACGAUACUAUACAUCAAAAUAACACAUGCUGACACUCGGCUUAGACGGAAACUCGACGAUUUCGGUAAACAUUAAUCCACCUCGAAAAGCUCGUCCAACAACGGCGAGAAGUCGAAAGGAGGGAGUCCACGCGCUCG